RNAcentral lists this ribosomal RNA (1554 nucleotides) under Escherichia coli. RNAcentral's name for it is "bacterial SSU rRNA". It matches the Rfam family "Bacterial small subunit ribosomal RNA". Lineage: Bacteria; Pseudomonadati; Pseudomonadota; Gammaproteobacteria; Enterobacterales; Enterobacteriaceae. The record is from RNAcentral.
AAAUUGAAGAGUUUGAUCAUGGCUCAGAUUGAACGCUGGCGGCAGGCCUAACACAUGCAAGUCGAACGGUAACAGGAAACAGCUUGCUGUUUCGCUGACGAGUGGCGGACGGGUGAGUAAUGUCUGGGAAACUGCCUGAUGGAGGGGGAUAACUACUGGAAACGGUAGCUAAUACCGCAUAACGUCGCAAGACCAAAGAGGGGGACCUUCGGGCCUCUUGCCAUCGGAUGUGCCCAGAUGGGAUUAGCUAGUUGGUGGGGUAACGGCUCACCAAGGCGACGAUCCCUAGCUGGUCUGAGAGGAUGACCAGCCACACUGGAACUGAGACACGGUCCAGACUCCUACGGGAGGCAGCAGUGGGGAAUAUUGCACAAUGGGCGCAAGCCUGAUGCAGCCAUGCCGCGUGUAUGAAGAAGGCCUUCGGGUUGUAAAGUACUUUCAGCGGGGAGGAAGGGAGUAAAGUUAAUACCUUUGCUCAUUGACGUUACCCGCAGAAGAAGCACCGGCUAACUCCGUGCCAGCAGCCGCGGUAAUACGGAGGGUGCAAGCGUUAAUCGGAAUUACUGGGCGUAAAGCGCACGCAGGCGGUUUGUUAAGUCAGAUGUGAAAUCCCCGGGCUCAACCUGGGAACUGCAUCUGAUACUGGCAAGCUUGAGUCUCGUAGAGGGGGGUAGAAUUCCAGGUGUAGCGGUGAAAUGCGUAGAGAUCUGGAGGAAUACCGGUGGCGAAGGCGGCCCCCUGGACGAAGACUGACGCUCAGGUGCGAAAGCGUGGGGAGCAAACAGGAUUAGAUACCCUGGUAGUCCACGCCGUAAACGAUGUCGACUUGGAGGUUGUGCCCUUGAGGCGUGGCUUCCGGAGCUAACGCGUUAAGUCGACCGCCUGGGGAGUACGGCCGCAAGGUUAAAACUCAAAUGAAUUGACGGGGGCCCGCACAAGCGGUGGAGCAUGUGGUUUAAUUCGAUGCAACGCGAAGAACCUUACCUGGUCUUGACAUCCACGGAAGUUUUCAGAGAUGAGAAUGUGCCUUCGGGAACCGUGAGACAGGUGCUGCAUGGCUGUCGUCAGCUCGUGUUGUGAAAUGUUGGGUUAAGUCCCGCAACGAGCGCAACCCUUAUCCUUUGUUGCCAGCGGUCCGGCCGGGAACUCAAAGGAGACUGCCAGUGAUAAACUGGAGGAAGGUGGGGAUGACGUCAAGUCAUCAUGGCCCUUACGACCAGGGCUACACACGUGCUACAAUGGCGCAUACAAAGAGAAGCGACCUCGCGAGAGCAAGCGGACCUCAUAAAGUGCGUCGUAGUCCGGAUUGGAGUCUGCAACUCGACUCCAUGAAGUCGGAAUCGCUAGUAAUCGUGGAUCAGAAUGCCACGGUGAAUACGUUCCCGGGCCUUGUACACACCGCCCGUCACACCAUGGGAGUGGGUUGCAAAAGAAGUAGGUAGCUUAACCUUCGGGAGGGCGCUUACCACUUUGUGAUUCAUGACUGGGGUGAAGUCGUAACAAGGUAACCGUAGGGGAACCUGCGGUUGGAUCACCUCCUUACCUUAAAGAAGC